UGUCAGCCCCAUCUGAACUUGAAACAAUCCCUGUCUCCUUUGUUUACAAUGUGUCUAGCAAUAAAUCUGAUAGGCACUGUAGCUACCCUAUUCCAGGGCCCCAGGCUCUGCCUAUUUACCAACUGAUUGUUUCGUUGGCUUCUGGUGUUGGCUUGGAUUUCAGCCAAAGAAGGCCCAACUACAGUGGAAAACAAAAAAGUCUGGGUAGUCAGGGUGGAGGAGGCUGUCCUCAGCCCACAGCCCUGAAGCAAACAGUCCAGUUUCCUUUGUCCAGCACACCCGCUGGUUUGGAUGUUGGUCUGGUUGUGUCAGUAAACAGACCUGCCCGGGUUAGUUUUCCUGAUAAGGUCAUGUGUGUUCCAAGUUUCCUAGAACCAAAGGGACAGCCAUAGAAGAGCUAGGGCCUGACCAAUCAUAAAACCCCAGGCAUCCAUUUCCUUUUAAAAAGUACUAAAAUAUCUUGUUUCUGCUUUGGGAAGAAAAAUAUUGUCUUGACUCCUCUGAAUUAUGCGUGAAACUCUUAGGGUUGCUGUUUUAAAAAACAGGGUGACAAAUCCUAAGCCAGUGGGGAGAAAUCAGAGGCCAGACAUGACCCGUCAGCGAGGUAUCUGCUCUGCAAACCGGAAAAGACAAUGGAGACUUCACUAGAAGGCAGCACUGGCUGAUAUUUACUAUCUCCCUGGAGGAUGUUCAGGAGGGAGCAGGUGGGGAAUGGCUCUGUAGUCAGAGGAGGCUGCAUUUGAUCCCGAUACUGCCGCCUGCCUGUGCAAGUCAUUUUAUAUCUCCAACCUCGGAUUCCCUUAUCUGUAAAAUGCCAAGCACCAUAGACUGAGUGAUUUAAACAACAGUUUAGAUCUGUGAUCAAUAUGCCGGCAGGGCUGGUUUCUCCCGAGGCCUCUCUCCUUGUCGUCUUGCAGGUACCAUCUUCCUCCCUGUGUCCUCAUGUCGCCGUCCCUUUGUGUGUGUCUGUGUGCUAAUAUCCUCUUCUUCUAGGGACACCAGUCAUAUUGGAUGAGGGCCCACACCAAUGGUGCCAUCUCAACCUACCUGCCUCUUUAAAAACACUGUUUCCAAGAGGGUCGUAUUCCUGGAUAUUGGGGGUCAGGACUUCAACGUAUGGAUUUUGGGAAGACACAGUUAAUUCAGCCUAUAACCAUGUGGCUAAUGCAACUUGUAGAGAAUAUUCUAUUAUGCUUAUGCUGUGUGAGUAUGUAUUAGGUAUGCACAACAAUAUAUAGUAGGUAUUGAGAAUUAUACCUGAUGAUCAAAUUUCUGUUCUAUUUUUAGAUGUUUAUUGUUUGGACACACACAAAAAUUUUGCCUAAGUGCCCAUAGCUUAAUAAGAAUACUUACACUGUGAGACCAAACACAGAUGUUCAUAAAAGGGCACGUAUGUCUAACUUUUUUUAAAGAUAUAGGAACUUUUUUUAAAGAUAUAGGAAUAUUUUAAUGUGAUUUGGGGGGAGAUUAUUUCAGGUAUGCUUGGGAACAAUGACGGCAUUCUCAAAAGAAGCGAUAACUAGUGAAGGUCAGGAGAGAAAGCUCCUGAACUAAGAAAAAGUAAGAUAAAUUACUUAGAGGUUGUGAUCAAACGGGCUGACCAACCCAAAUUCAGUUGCAGUUUGACUGCUUGUUAAUUGUGUAAUUUCAACCCUCAGUUAGUAUCAGCUCCCCUCCCUUGACUAGUGUGGUACCAUGCUCCAGAGCUCAUACUUCAAAUAUUAUGCUUAUGACUUUUGGAAAUAAUACAAUUUUAUAAAUGGAAAAUUAAACAGUUUUGGUUUUUUUCCCAGAGAAUCAAGGUACAAAGUAAAUGAUCAAUAAAUAUUGGAUGGAUGAGUGGAUCAAUGGAGAGAUGGGUUGAUCAAUCAGUGGAUCAAUAGGAAAGCAAAAUAAGACAAGAACACACGAGGAUGCUCCUCCAAGUCUCACUUGACCUAAACUCUCACCAAAUACUGACAUGGCUGGUGAAGCCACAGGGGGCCUCAGCCCUCCUUCGCCCCUCAUGUGCCACCUCCAGUGUAGGUGCUGUAGAAAAGAUGCUAUGAACAGUUAUAUUUCUGUUUCGAAGCUGUAUGCAGUGCCUUUUGAGCCCUCCGCCACAUAGCUGUGGGACAUGGGUUGGCAUGGCCACCAGCUCUGGUGAGAUUCUCAUUUCCUCUCCAAACCUGCUUCUCCAUGUAGCAAAAGAUGCAGUUUCUCCUGCAGUGAGCAUCCAGGGCCACCAUAGUGGACAUUCCCAGGUUACAUCCUGGCAGCGCUGGUCACAGUGCUCUACAUCCACGCUGUUCCUCCCAGUUCACAUCUUCGUCUUUCGGGUUCAAGGCAAUUUCCUUAUCCAGUUGAUAAAGGCAGUCCUGGCCUUUAAAGAGACUCAGCUAUUUCUACUAGGCGAACCGACAGCUGUGCAUAACCUUGUUGUGCAGCCAACCUCUAAGAGCCCCAGGGAGCCUGCCUCCUGAAAUUCACAUUCUUCUAACUACCACACAGAAAGGACGUUCACACAGAUGGUGGAGAGGCACGCACAAAGCCCGAAACAGAGGCCUCCUGCCAACAGCGGUCAAGGGAGUAAUCCUGAAGUCAAUCAAGCCUGCAGGUGACGCAGCUCCAGCUGACAUCUUGAGGCAAUCUUAGGAGUCAGAACCAAACCCUGACUGCUCCCUACUUCCUAACCACAGAAACUGGGAGAUAAUAAAUAUUUGCUGUUUUAAGCCACUAA
Carlito syrichta (Philippine tarsier) is the source of this 2719-nucleotide long non-coding RNA. RefSeq lists it as uncharacterized. Lineage: Eukaryota; Metazoa; Chordata; Mammalia; Primates; Tarsiidae. The transcript is spliced from 3 exons. The record is from RefSeq and is a predicted model, not a curated record.